This 607-nucleotide ribosomal RNA is filed under the name uncultured fungus. Its description in RNAcentral is "eukaryotic LSU rRNA". It matches the Rfam family "Eukaryotic large subunit ribosomal RNA", at positions 23 to 641 of the family's 3401-position model. The record is from RNAcentral. Lineage: Eukaryota; Fungi.
ACCCGCUGAACUUAAGCAUAUCAAUAAGCGGAGGAAAAGAAACCAACAGGGAUUGCCUCAGUAACUGCGAGUGAAGCGGCAAAAGCUCAAAUUUGAAAUCUGGCCCGUCUCUGGCGGCCCGAGUUGUAAUUUGGAGGGGCAUUUUCGGAGCGGGCGCCGUCCUAAGUUCCUUGGAACAGGACGUCACAGAGGGUGAGAAUCCCGUGCCUGGGCGGCUGCCCCGCUCCAUGUGAGGUGUCUCCGACGAGUCGAGUUGUUUGGGAAUGCAGCUCAAAAUGGGUGGUAAAUUUCAUCUAAAGCUAAAUAUUGGCGAGAGACCGAUAGCGCACAAGUAGAGUGAUCGAAAGAUGAAAAGCACUUUGAAAAGAGAGUUAAAAAGUACGUGAAAUUGUUGAAAGGGAAGCGCUUGAGACCAGACUCGGCCGCUGACGAUCAACGGUGCUUCUGUGCCGUGCACUCGACAGCGGCCGGGCCAGCAUCGGUUCCGGCGGCGGGAAAAAGGUUCGGGCAAUGUGGCUCCCCUCGGGGAGUGUUAUAGGCCCGGGCGUCAUGCCGCCAGCCGGGACCGAGGACCGCGCUUCGGCUAGGAUGCUGGCGUAAUGGUCUU